RNAcentral lists this ribosomal RNA (292 nucleotides) under uncultured Alphaproteobacteria bacterium. RNAcentral describes it as "partial 16S ribosomal RNA". Lineage: Bacteria; Pseudomonadati; Pseudomonadota; Alphaproteobacteria. The record is from RNAcentral.
GGACUACCCGGGUAUCUAAUCCUGUUUGCUCCCCACGCUUUCGCACCUCAGCGUCAGUAUCGAGCCAGUGGGCCGCCUUCGCCACCGGUGUUCUUCCUAAUAUCUACGAAUUUCACCUCUACACUAGGAAUUCCACCCACCUCUCUCGAACUCAAGACUUGCUGUAUCAAAGGCAGUUCCGAGGUUGAGCCCCGGGAUUUCACCCCUGACUGACAAAUCCGCCUACGUGCGCUUUACGCCCAGUGAUUCCGAACAACGCUAGCUCCCUUCGUAUUACCGCGGCUGCUGGCAC